Molecule: long non-coding RNA, 2014 nt
Organism: Equus caballus (horse)
Lineage: Eukaryota; Metazoa; Chordata; Mammalia; Perissodactyla; Equidae
Source: Ensembl
GUCUACUCAGGGCCAAUCUGCAGGUUAAUUUAUGGCAGCGGGCACUCUGAUGAUUUGGGAUCAUUUAAGCUCAUUACUACGGCACCUGGUGCCCAGGCUGCCCCAGUAGCUUAACUGGUCAUGUGACUUGAGUGACAUCAUCACCACUUUUCCCCACUUCCUGGAUUAAUGUUUGGUGGCCUACUUUUCCUCCGAAGCCUCUGGCAGAAGAUCCUGAGGAAGCAAAGCAUAAUACCGAUAAAUAUUAGAUCCUUCACUGCACUACUGGUUACAAGGAAAGAGGAAAUAUUCCGUUUUACAGGUUCUUCAUCCACCUCGACCUCACCCCCCAAUCCCCAAACUGUUGGAAGACGGCACAGCGAAAGUGCACAGGCCUGUCUUAUUCUUUGGAGGGAAGCACUUUCUCUUGUCAUUGGCUUUUUCCUUCUAGCCACGAAGAAAUGUACUUUUGCGAAGAACUGGAAAGAGGAUUCUGUGAACUUGUAUGGAGAAGCUGUUGACGGUGAAGGAUGUAACAUUGUGCUGAAAUAACUGGCUGAAAGAAACUCAGGGAAGAAAUAAAAGAGACAUGAGGAGAAGGCUCUCUGCUGGAUAGAAUGACCGAAUCUGGUGGAAGGAGGGUCCUGGGGGCAGUGGGAGGCAGGGUUCUCAAUGAAGUGGGUGCACAGGUUAUUAUCCCAGAGCCAUCCCCAGUCCUUAUUAGCAUCACCUGCUUGUUUCCAGCUCAGAGAUUCAGCUCCACUUUCCUUUGGCAAAGGGAGAGGCAUUUCAAGAUAUUUGGUCCUCAACAUCUGGAAGAGAGAAAACUCUUAAUAUACGGUGUUUUAAGGAAAACUUCAGGAUGCAAGCCAACAAAUAUCAAAGAAGAUAAUGAAGAUUAGCCCUGCGCUAACAUCUGCUGCCAAUCCUCUUCUUUUCACUGAGGAAGACUGGCCCUGAGCUAACAUCCAUGCCCAUCUUCCCCCACUUGAUAUGUGGCAUCCCUACCAUAGCAUGGCUUGCCAAGUGGUGCCGCACCCAGUAUUCGAACUGGCGAACACCUAGCCGCCAAAGCAGAACAUGAGAACUUAACCACUGUGCCACUGGGCUGGCCCGAAGUGCUUUUUACAUGUGAAUGUUGUUGUAUAAAUAUUUGCAGGUAUUAUUUUCCUGCUGCAAUUAUACGUAGCGGAUGUUGGAUGUUUUGUCUGCACUGCAUCCCUUCCUCCAUCUAUUGCUAAAGAGUGUUAAAAAUUUCCUUCUGAGGAGCAGCUCUCAUACACUCUGUGUGUCUUGGCUCGACUACCCUGCCCUCCCCUAGCCAUGAGACUUGUCACACUGUAAAUAAAGUCACACUUUAAAUUAAGCAAUACAUCAGGUCCCUAAAUUUUAGGGAUAUAAUUUGUGUGUGUGUGUGUGUGAGGAAGAUUGGCCCUGAGCUAACAUCUGUGCCAAUCUUCCUCUAUUUUAUAUGGGAUGCCACCACAGCAUGGCUUAUCAAGCAGUGCUAGAUCUGUGCCCAGGAUUCAAACCUGUGAACCCUGGGCUCCCACAGUGGAGCACACUAACAUAAUGAAUAUGCCACCCGGCUGGCCCCAGGAAUAUAAUUUUUAACUACCGUCACUUACCUGAUAUAAUCAUUAAAUUUAAAAUUCUGUGCCAUGCUAUCUGUGCUGAAAUUCAAACCACUUUAAAAUGUGACAGCUAAACAUAAUGCAAGCUGGUAACAGUUCUGGUACUAAAAAUUGUGGUGGUUUCUUCUGUUUACGUAACUCUUAGUACUGAAUCCUUUUCCACGAGGAUCUUGUUAAGAAGAGCAGAGUCAUGCUUCACCCUUAACAUCUACACCCUGUGACAUCAGAUUUUGAAGGGCUUUAUGUGAACUGGCAUAUUGUAAUUUUUCUAAGCAUUUAAAAAAAGAUAACAGAAUUGUUAUCUACAGUUUGUUACCUAACAGUUUGUUUAGGUACUAAUUCUGUUCAGAAAAAUAAGCCAGGAAAAGUUGAUGGUAUUCAUCAGGUUUUAACUGAGUGGA